This 303-nucleotide ribosomal RNA is filed under the name uncultured bacterium. Its description in RNAcentral is "partial 16S ribosomal RNA". It matches the Rfam family "Bacterial small subunit ribosomal RNA", at positions 507 to 809 of the family's 1533-position model. The record is from RNAcentral.
AGCAGUAGCCACGGGAAUACGUAGGGUGCAAGCGUUAAUCGGAAUUACUGGGCGUAAAGCGUGCGCAGGCGGUUAUAUAAGACAGAUGUGAAAUCCCCGGGCUCAACCUGGGAACUGCAUUUGUGACUGUAUAGCUAGAGUACGGCAGAGGGGGAUGGAAUUCCGCGUGUAGCAGUGAAAUGCGUAGAUAUGCGGAGGAACACCGAUGGCGAAGGCAAUCCCCUGGGCCUGUACUGACGCUCAUGCACGAAAGCGUGGGGAGCAAACAGGAUUAGAUACCCCCGUAGUCCCUGUCUCUUAUAA